RNAcentral lists this transfer RNA (75 nucleotides) under Porphyromonas sp. Its description in RNAcentral is "tRNA-Val". It matches the Rfam family "tRNA". Rfam says of the family: Transfer RNA (tRNA) molecules are approximately 80 nucleotides in length. Their secondary structure includes four short double-helical elements and three loops (D, anti-codon, and T loops). The record is from RNAcentral. Lineage: Bacteria; Pseudomonadati; Bacteroidota; Bacteroidia; Bacteroidales; Porphyromonadaceae.
GGAUCCUUAGCUCAGCUGGUUUAGAGCAUCUGCCUUACAAGCAGAGGGUCGAAGGUUCGAAUCCUUCAGGGUCCA